UCCCGGGUGGUGUAACGGCAGCACGGCGGGUUUUGGUCCCGUCCAGUAGGGGUUCGAAUCCUCUCCCGGGAG
RNAcentral lists this transfer RNA (72 nucleotides) under Kineococcus aurantiacus. It matches the Rfam family "tRNA". Rfam says of the family: Transfer RNA (tRNA) molecules are approximately 80 nucleotides in length. RNAcentral also lists the same sequence under 13 other names. Lineage: Bacteria; Bacillati; Actinomycetota; Actinomycetes; Kineosporiales; Kineosporiaceae. The record is from Rfam by way of RNAcentral.